RNAcentral lists this ribosomal RNA (466 nucleotides) under uncultured bacterium. RNAcentral's name for it is "partial 16S ribosomal RNA". It matches the Rfam family "Bacterial small subunit ribosomal RNA", at positions 339 to 795 of the family's 1533-position model. The record is from RNAcentral.
CUACGGGGUGCAGCAGUGGGGAAUAUUGGACAAUGGGGGAAACCCUGAUCCAGCAAUGCCGCGUGUGUGAAGAAGGCCUGCGGGUUGUAAAGCACUUUCGGUUGGGAGGACUGCUUCUAGCACUAAUAUUGUUGGAAGUUGACGUUACCUUCAGAAGAAGCACCGGCUAACUCCGUGCCAGCAGCCGCGGUGAAUACGGAGGGUGCAAGCGUGAAUCGGAAUUACUGGGCGUAAAGCGCGCGUAGGCGGCUAGAUCAGUCGGGUGUGAAAGCCCCGGGCUUAACCUGGGAACUGCAUCCGAUACUGUCUAGCUUGAGUACAGGAGAGGAGAGUGGAAUUCCACAUGUAGCGGUGAAAUGCGUAGAUAUGUGGAGGAACACCAAUGGCGAAGGCAGCUCUCUGGCCUGAUACUGACGCUGAGGUGCGAAAGCGUGGGGAGCAAACAGGAUUAGAUACCCUUGUAGUC